Molecule: ribosomal RNA, 464 nt
Filed under: uncultured bacterium
Lineage: Bacteria
Description: partial 16S ribosomal RNA
Rfam family: Bacterial small subunit ribosomal RNA
Source: RNAcentral
GACGAACGCUGGCGGCGUGCUUAACACAUGCAAGUCGAACGGAAAGGCCCUGCUUGCAUGGUACUCUCGUGGCGAACGGGUGUGUAACACGUGGGUGAUCUGCCCUGCACUUCGGGAUAAGCCUUGGAAACUGUGUCUCAUACCGGAUAGGAGCCCUUUUUAGUGUGAUGGUUGGAAAGUUUUUUCGGUGUAGGAUGAGCUCGCGGCCUAUCAGCUUGUUGGUGGGGUAAUGGCCUACCAAGGCGGCGACGGGUAGCCGGCCUGAGAGGGUGGACGGCCACAUUGGGACUGAGAUACGGCCCAGACUCCUACGGGAGGCAGCAGUGGGGAAUAUUGCACAAUGGGCGGAAGCCUGAUGCAGCGACGCCGCGUGGGGGAUGACGGCCUUCGGGUUGUAAACUCCUUUCGCUAGGGACGAAGCGUGUGUGACGGUAACUAGAUAAGAAGCACCGGCUAACUACGUG